RNAcentral lists this transfer RNA (71 nucleotides) under Phycisphaeraceae bacterium. Its description in RNAcentral is "tRNA-Met". It matches the Rfam family "tRNA". From Rfam's summary of the family: Transfer RNA (tRNA) molecules are approximately 80 nucleotides in length. Lineage: Bacteria; Pseudomonadati; Planctomycetota; Phycisphaerae; Phycisphaerales; Phycisphaeraceae. The record is from RNAcentral.
UGCGAUGUAGCUUAACGGCAGAGCAGGCCCCUCAUAAGGGCAAGAUGCUGGUUCGACUCCAGCCAUCGCUA